GAUGAACGCUGGCGGCGUGCCUAAUACAUGCCAGUCGAGCGAACAGACGAGGAGCUUGCUCCUCUGACGUUAGCGGCGGACGGGUGAGUAACACGUGGAUAACCUACCUAUAAGACUGGGAUAACUUCGGGAAACCGGAGCUAAUACCGGAUAAUAUAUUGAACCGCAUGGUUCAAUAGUGAAAGACGGUUUUGCUGUCACUUAUAGAUGGAUCCGCGCCGCAUUAGCUAGUUGGUAAGGUAACGGCUUACCAAGGCGACGAUGCGUAGCCGACCUGAGAGGGUGAUCGGCCACACUGGAACUGAGACACGGUCCAGACUCCUACGGGAGGCAGCAGUAGGGAAUCUUCCUCAAUGGGCGAAAGCCUGACGGAGCAACGCCGCGUGAGUGAUGAAGGUCUUCGGAUCGUAAAACUCUGUUAUUAGGGAAGAACAAAUGUGUAAGUAACUAUGCACGUCUUGACGGUACCUAAUCAGAAAGCCACGGCUAACUACGUG
This 497-nucleotide ribosomal RNA is filed under the name uncultured bacterium. RNAcentral describes it as "partial 16S ribosomal RNA". It matches the Rfam family "Bacterial small subunit ribosomal RNA", at positions 28 to 507 of the family's 1533-position model. The record is from RNAcentral.